UGGUUGAUCCUGCCAGUAGUCCGUAAUGCUUGUUUCAAAGAUUAAGCCAUGCAAACCUCAGAGCAAAUGGGUUCAACAGUAGGUCCGUGAACGGCUCAUUAAAUCAGCAAUCAUCUACCCAGUUCUGCGGGGGCAAUACCCCUGCCAUACGGAUAACCUCAGUAACUCCGAGGCUAAUACGUGUACGAAACCUGUCCCCUCGUUCCCUGUGCGGCUGGUUUGGGGAGUGGAGGACUCAUGGAGUGGAGCGUGUGUGGGUUCGUGAGCGUGGUGUGUUGCCUUCACCGGUACGCGCCGCUGCUUGUGUUCCUGUCGCAUCUUCUCUUCCCUCUGCUCUCCGCCAGUUGCGCAGAGGGGGCAUACAGUUGGCCGGCACCAAAACUAACGCCACCGUCCACCAACCCACUCUUCGGAAUGGGAGGGGCGGCUCACAUGGCAGUGCCUUCCUACGUGCUUCGCGCAUUAUGCGGGUGAUACAGGCCAACCUCGUGGUAGCGCAUCAGUCCCUAGUGGCUGGCGCGGAACUGGACGAAUUUCUGCCUUAUCAGCUUUCGAUGACCGUGUAGUGAACGGCCAUGGCGAUAACGAGUCACGGGGAACUAGGGUUCGAUUCCGGAGAGGGCGCCUGAGACACGGCGACCAGAUCUAAGGAUUGCAGCAGGCACGCAAAUUGCCCAAUGGCAGCUCGCUGUUGAGGCAGUGACGAGAAAUAACAACACCGGCAGAAAACAUUUCGGCCGGUGAUUGUAAUGAACGGUACCCAAAGCAACCGAUGAGUACCCAUUGGAGGGCAAGUCUGGUGCCAGCAGCCGCGGUAAUUCCAGCUCCAAUAGCAUACACUAAUGUUGUUGCGGUUAAAAAGCUCGUAGUUGGAUCCGGAGCACGGGAUUGCAGGUUGGAUCGGGUCCCGAUGCCGAGGGUUUCGGCCCUUGUGCUGGUGGACACAAUCCCCUGCACUAAAUCCUGGCUCUACACACACGGAAUUCGGUUCUCCUGUCUGAGGCCUCCUUCAUUGGUGGUCGAAGCAAUUUCUGGGGCGUCCGUGGUAGUUACCGUGAACAAAACAGCGUGUCCAAAGCAGGCGCGGCUUCGCCAUUCUGCCUGUAUGAUCUAGCAUGGAAUGACAAGGGAGCGACCAUGGCGUUGGCUUUCUCCUUUUUGUUAGUUUUGACGACACCAUUGGGAAACACAAGGCAGGCGUGCCGUGCGGUGGACACCUCGCUUCGCUCUGCUGCGGCCGCAAGGCUGUAUGCGGUUAGCGUUGAGAGUCGUUGUCCGCCGUGCGGCCCCUGCCUCCAUACGGGAUCAAUCGGGGCACACGGUGGGAUACGUAUUGUAGCGCUAGUGGUGAAAUACUUAGACCGCCACAAGACGAACAUCUGCGAAAGCAUUUCUCAAGCAUGCCUUCUUCAAUCAAGAGCGAGAGUACGGGGAUCGAAGAUGAUCAGAUACCGUUGUAGUCCGUACCGUAAACGCUGCCGGUUCGGAAUUGGGAGCCUGCUCUGGCAUCCCGACUCUCCCAGAACCACCCCCCAUAACGAGAAAUCCAAACCUGGGUUCCGGGGGGAGUACGUCCGCAAGGCCGAAACUUAAAGGAAUUGACGGAAUGGCACCACAAGGCGUGGAGUGUGCGGCUUAAUUUGACUCAACACGGGGAACCUUGCCAGGUCCGGACUUGCUGAGGAUUGACAGAUUGAGAGCUCUUUCUUGAUCGCAAGGGUGGUGGUGCAUGGCCGUGCUGGGUUGGUGGAGUGAUUUGUCUGCUUAAUUGCGAUAACGAACGAGAUCACAACCUUUCACUCGGCCUUCCAUUCGUACAUUGGGUAGGGGUGCCUUCGGCGCCCGUCGCCACCCUUCACGGGGUCGGGGGCGGGUACCGGAGCGUUUAUGGCCCCGAGAGUGGAAGAGCUUUCCUUAAAGGGACUGGCGGUGCCCCCUCAACCCCCGGAAGAAUGUGCCUUUCACAGGUCUGUGAUGCUCCGCAAUGUUCUGGACUGCACGCGCACUACACUGGCGUGGUCAACGAGCGACAAACCGUGCUUUAGCGGUUCCUCCUUGGAAGCGAGCCCGGUAAUCUUUGCAAACCGUGUCGUGAUCGGGGAUAGGUGAUUGCAAUUAUUUUCCCUGAACGAGGAAUGCCCAGUAGGGGUGGUUCAUCAGACCAUCCCGAUUGCGUCCCUGGCAUUUGUACACACCGCCCGUCGUUGUGCUCGAUUGGCUGUCGUAUAGAGGACUUGCAAGGCUGCGACAUGGAGCUUGCUUCAUGUCGUCCCGAAAGGGUUGGCCAAACUUGCCCAAUAUACUGCAGCUAGAGAGCAUAAAAGUCGUAACAAGGUACUGGUAGGUG
Molecule: ribosomal RNA, 2347 nt
Filed under: Ploeotia oblonga
Lineage: Eukaryota; Euglenozoa; Ploeotarea; Ploeotiida; Ploeotiidae
Description: partial small subunit ribosomal RNA
Rfam family: Eukaryotic small subunit ribosomal RNA
Source: RNAcentral